This 446-nucleotide ribosomal RNA is filed under the name uncultured bacterium. Its description in RNAcentral is "partial 16S ribosomal RNA". It matches the Rfam family "Bacterial small subunit ribosomal RNA", at positions 338 to 795 of the family's 1533-position model. The record is from RNAcentral.
CCUACGGGUGGCAGCAGUCGAGAAUCAUUCACAAUGGGGGAAACCCUGAUGGUGCGACGCCGCGUGGGGGAAUGAAGGUCUUCGGAUUGUAAACCCCUGUCAUGUGGGAGCAAAUUAAAAAGAUAGUACCACAGGAGGAAGAGACGGCUAACUCUGUGCCAGCAGCCGCGGUAAUACAGAGGUUUCAAGCGUUGUCCGGAAUCACUGGGCGUAAAGCGUGCGUAGGCUGUUUCGGAAGACGUGUGUGAAAGGCGCGGGCUCAACCCGCGGACGGCACAUGAUACUGCGAGACUAGAGUGAUGGAGGGGGAGCCGGAAUUCUCGGUGUAGCAGUGAAAUGCGUAGAUAUCGAGAGGAACACUCGUGGCGAAGGCGGGUUCCUGGACAUUAACUGACGCUGAGGCACGAAGGCCAGGGGAGCGAAAGGGAUUAGAUACCCCAGUAGUC